RNAcentral lists this microRNA (22 nucleotides) under Gyrodactylus salaris (gyrodactylosis fluke). RNAcentral describes it as "gsa-miR-76a-3p". Its record names the gene gsa-miR-76a-3p. The record is from miRBase by way of RNAcentral. Lineage: Eukaryota; Metazoa; Platyhelminthes; Monogenea; Gyrodactylidea; Gyrodactylidae.
UUCGUUGUUGAAAAAAACAAGA